GUCUAGGGCCAGACCGCCCUGAACGAGCCCGAUCUCGUCUGAUGUCAGGAGCUAAGCAGGGUCAGGCCUGGUUGGUACUCGGAUGGGCGAGGUCGCAGGGAAUGUGGAGUCACA
RNAcentral lists this ribosomal RNA (114 nucleotides) under Octodon degus (degu). Lineage: Eukaryota; Metazoa; Chordata; Mammalia; Rodentia; Octodontidae. The record is from RNAcentral.